Molecule: ribosomal RNA, 253 nt
Filed under: uncultured bacterium
Lineage: Bacteria
Description: partial 16S ribosomal RNA
Rfam family: Bacterial small subunit ribosomal RNA
Source: RNAcentral
UACGGAGGGGACUAGCGUUGUUCGGAAUUACUGGGCGUAAAGCGCACGUAGGCGGAUUUGUUAGUCAGGGGUGAAAUCCUGGAGCUCAACUCCAGAACUGCCUUUGAUACUGGCGACCUUGAGUCCGGGAGAGGUGAGUGGAACUGCGAGUGUAGAGGUGAAAUUCGUAGAUAUUCGCAAGAACACCAGUGGCGAAGGCGGCUCACUGGCCCGGUACUGACGCUGAGGUGCGAAAGCGUGGGGAGCAAACAGG